GUAGGUGGCAAGCGUUGUCCGGAAUUAUUGGGCGUAAAGCGCGCGCAGGCGGUUCUUUAAGUCUGAUGUGAAAGCCCACGGCUCAACCGUGGAGGGUCAUUGGAAACUGGAGAACUUGAGUACAGAAGAGGAAAGCGGAAUUCCACGUGUAGCGGUGAAGUGCGUAGAGAUGUGGAGGAACACCAGUGGCGAAGGCGGCUUUCUGGUCUGUAACUGACGCUGAGGCGCGAAAGCGUGGGGAGCAACAGGGAUUAGAUACCCUGGUAGUCCACGCCGUAAACGAUGAGUGCUAAGUGUUAGGGGGGUUUCCGCCCCCUUAGUGCUGCAGCUAACGCAUUAAGCACUCCGCCUGGGGAGUACGGCCGCAAGGCUG
This 373-nucleotide ribosomal RNA is filed under the name uncultured organism. Its description in RNAcentral is "partial 16S ribosomal RNA". It matches the Rfam family "Bacterial small subunit ribosomal RNA", at positions 527 to 896 of the family's 1533-position model. The record is from RNAcentral.